AAUCUGCCUAGAGGUCGGGGACAACCAUUGGAAACGAUGGCUAAUACCGGAUAUGCCUUACGGGGUGAAAGAUUAAUUGCCUUUAGAAGAGCUCGCGUCUGAUUAGCUAGUUGGUGAGGUAAGAGCUCACCAAGGCAGCGAUCAGUAGCUGGUCUGAGAGGAUGACCAGCCACACUGGGACUGAGACACGGCCCAGACUCCUACGGGAGGCAGCAGUGGGGAAUUUUCCGCAAUGGGCGAAAGCCUGACGGAGCAAGACCGCGUGAGGGAGGAAGGCUCUUGGGUUGUAAACCUCUUUUGUCAGGGAAGAACAAAAUGACGGUACCUGACGAAUCAGCAUCGGCUAACUCCGUGCCAGCAGCCGCGGUAAUACGGAGGAUGCAAGCGUUAUCCGGAAUUAUUGGGCGUAAAGCGUCCGCAGGUGGCUGAUCAAGUCUGCGGUCAAAGACCGGGGCUUAACCCUGGAAAGGCCGUGGAAACUGAUAGAGCUAGAGUACCGUAGGGGUAGAGGGAAUUCCCGGUGUAGCGGUGAAAUGCGUAGAGAUCGGGAAGAACAUCGGUGGCGAAAGCGCUCUACUGGACGGUGACUGACACUCAGGGACGAAAGCUAGGGGAGCGAAUGGGAUUAGAUACCCCAGUAGUCCUAGCCGUAAACGAUGGAUACUAG
Molecule: ribosomal RNA, 667 nt
Filed under: uncultured cyanobacterium
Lineage: Bacteria; Bacillati; Cyanobacteriota
Description: bacterial SSU rRNA
Rfam family: Bacterial small subunit ribosomal RNA
Source: RNAcentral